This 497-nucleotide ribosomal RNA is filed under the name uncultured bacterium. Its description in RNAcentral is "partial 16S ribosomal RNA". It matches the Rfam family "Bacterial small subunit ribosomal RNA", at positions 29 to 507 of the family's 1533-position model. The record is from RNAcentral.
AGUGAACGCUGGCGGUAGGCCUAACACAUGCAAGUCGAACGGCAGCACAGUAAGAUCUUGCUCUUACGGGUGGCGACUGGCGGAUGGGUGAGGCAUACAUCGGAAUCUACUUUUUCGUGGGGGAUUACGUAGGGACACUUACGCUAAUACCUCAUAUUAUCUACGGGUUAAAUCAGGAGAUCUUCGGACCUUUCGUGUUUGAUUUAGCCGAUUUCGGGCUGCAUUAGCUAGUUGGUAAGGUAACGGCCUACCAAGGCGACGAUGCAUAGCUGAUCUGAGAGGGUGAUCGGCCACACUGGAACUGAGACACGGUCCAGACUCCUACGGGAGGCAGCAGUAGGGAAUAUUGGGCAAUGGGCGAAAGCCUGAUCGAGCCAUGCCGCGUGGGUGAAGAAGGCCUUCGGAUUGUAAAGCCCUGUUGUUGGGGAAGAAAAGAAGCGGAAGAAAACGCCGAUGUCCUGACGGUACCCAAAGAGAAAGCAACGGCUAACUUCGUG